Molecule: transfer RNA, 105 nt
Filed under: Candidatus Aenigmatarchaeota archaeon
Lineage: Archaea; Nanobdellati; Candidatus Aenigmatarchaeota
Description: tRNA-Pro
Source: RNAcentral
GGGACCGUAGUCUAGUGGCAGAAUUCCACCUUGGGGUGGUGGAGACCUGGGUUCGAUUAAAUUUGUUUCCCCUGGAAACUUUCUUAGGGAAUCCCAGCGGUCCCA